This 1499-nucleotide ribosomal RNA is filed under the name Lacticaseibacillus rhamnosus. RNAcentral's name for it is "bacterial SSU rRNA". It matches the Rfam family "Bacterial small subunit ribosomal RNA". Lineage: Bacteria; Bacillati; Bacillota; Bacilli; Lactobacillales; Lactobacillaceae. The record is from RNAcentral.
GAUGGCGGGUCCUAUAAUGCAGUCGACGAGUUCUGAUUAUUGAAAGGUGCUUGCAUCUUGAUUUAAUUUUGAACGAGUGGCGGACGGGUGAGUAACACGUGGGUAACCUGCCCUUAAGUGGGGGAUAACAUUUGGAAACAGAUGCUAAUACCGCAUAAAUCCAAGAACCGCAUGGUUCUUGGCUGAAAGAUGGCGUAAGCUAUCGCUUUUGGAUGGACCCGCGGCGUAUUAGCUAGUUGGUGAGGUAACGGCUCACCAAGGCAAUGAUACGUAGCCGAACUGAGAGGUUGAUCGGCCACAUUGGGACUGAGACACGGCCCAAACUCCUACGGGAGGCAGCAGUAGGGAAUCUUCCACAAUGGACGCAAGUCUGAUGGAGCAACGCCGCGUGAGUGAAGAAGGCUUUCGGGUCGUAAAACUCUGUUGUUGGAGAAGAAUGGUCGGCAGAGUAACUGUUGUCGGCGUGACGGUAUCCAACCAGAAAGCCACGGCUAACUACGUGCCAGCAGCCGCGGUAAUACGUAGGUGGCAAGCGUUAUCCGGAUUUAUUGGGCGUAAAGCGAGCGCAGGCGGUUUUUUAAGUCUGAUGUGAAAGCCCUCGGCUUAACCGAGGAAGUGCAUCGGAAACUGGGAAACUUGAGUGCAGAAGAGGACAGUGGAACUCCAUGUGUAGCGGUGAAAUGCGUAGAUAUAUGGAAGAACACCAGUGGCGAAGGCGGCUGUCUGGUCUGUAACUGACGCUGAGGCUCGAAAGCAUGGGUAGCGAACAGGAUUAGAUACCCUGGUAGUCCAUGCCGUAAACGAUGAAUGCUAGGUGUUGGAGGGUUUCCGCCCUUCAGUGCCGCAGCUAACGCAUUAAGCAUUCCGCCUGGGGAGUACGACCGCAAGGUUGAAACUCAAAGGAAUUGACGGGGGCCCGCACAAGCGGUGGAGCAUGUGGUUUAAUUCGAAGCAACGCGAAGAACCUUACCAGGUCUUGACAUCUUUUGAUCACCUGAGAGAUCAGGUUUCCCCUUCGGGGGCAAAAUGACAGGUGGUGCAUGGUUGUCGUCAGCUCGUGUCGUGAGAUGUUGGGUUAAGUCCCGCAACGAGCGCAACCCUUAUGACUAGUUGCCAGCAUUUAGUUGGGCACUCUAGUAAGACUGCCGGUGACAAACCGGAGGAAGGUGGGGAUGACGUCAAAUCAUCAUGCCCCUUAUGACCUGGGCUACACACGUGCUACAAUGGAUGGUACAACGAGUUGCGAGACCGCGAGGUCAAGCUAAUCUCUUAAAGCCAUUCUCAGUUCGGACUGUAGGCUGCAACUCGCCUACACGAAGUCGGAAUCGCUAGUAAUCGCGGAUCAGCACGCCGCGGUGAAUACGUUCCCGGGCCUUGUACACACCGCCCGUCACACCAUGAGAGUUUGUAACACCCGAAGCCGGUGGCGUAACCCUUUUAGGGAGCGAGCCGUCUAAGGUGGGACAAAUGAUUAGGGUGAAGUCGUAACAAGGGAACCA